AGAGUUUGAUCCUGGCUCAGGAUUAACGCUGGCGGCAUGCCUAAUACAUGCAAGUCGAACGAGAGUAGCAAUACUCUAGUGGCGAACGGGUGAGUAACACGUAGGAAACCUGCCUCAAAGUCGAGGAUAACUACUGGAAACGGUAGCUAAAACUGGAUAGGAUAUAUUAAGGCAUCUUGAUAUAUUUAAAAGUCCUUCUGGGAAUGCUUUGAGAUGGUCCUGCGGCGCAUUAGCUAGUUGGUGAGGUAGUAGCUUACCAAGGCGACGAUGCGUAGCUGAGCUGAGAGGCCAAACAGCCACACUGGGACUGAGACACGGCCCAGACUCCUACGGGAGGCAGCAGUAGGGAAUUUUCGGCAAUGGGGGAAACCCUGACCGAGCAAUGCCGCGUGAAUGAUGAAAUUCUUCGGAAUGUAAAAUUCUGUUGUGAGGGAAGAAAGGUAGUAUCAGGAAAUGGGUAUUACUUGACGGUACCUUACUAGAAAGCCCCGGCUAACUAUGUGCCAGCAGCCGCGGUAAUACAUAGGGGGCGAGCGUUAUCCGGAAUUAUUGGGCGUAAAGCGUGCGUAGGUGGCCGUUUAAGUCUGUCGUGAAAGCCCACAGCUUAACUGUGGAGGGUCGAUGGAAACUGGAUGGCUUGAAUCUAGAAGAGGUAAGUGGAAUUCCAUGUGUAGCGGUAAAAUGCUUAGAUAUAUGGAGGAACACCAGUGGCGAAGGCGGCUUACUGGUCUAGCAUUGACGUUGAGGCACGAAAGCGUAGGUAGCAAACAGGAUUAGAUACCCUGGUAGUCUACGCUGUAAACGAUGAGCACUAAGUGUCGGACGUAAGUUCGGUGCUGUAGUUAACGCAUUAAGUGCUCCGCCUGGGGAGUACGGUCGCAAGACUGAAACUCAA
RNAcentral lists this ribosomal RNA (895 nucleotides) under human gut metagenome. Its description in RNAcentral is "bacterial SSU rRNA". It matches the Rfam family "Bacterial small subunit ribosomal RNA", at positions 8 to 904 of the family's 1533-position model. The record is from RNAcentral.